AGUAUUUCUGUUAAAAUUCUGAUCUCAACUUAACUAUUGUUAGUUACAAAUAAAAGGUAGGUAUCAUAAAUUAGGGUAAGCAGAGCAUGCAAAUCUACAGAGUCUAUGUCUGAGUUCCUAGAUUAGCAUGAAAACCAAUCACCGCAACAAAUACCUCAACAUAUGCCUCGUGUGGAGAGAGGAGGCCACACUGAGCGCUCACUGCCACAACCGUAAGGUUUUCGGAGAGGCCCCUGUGGCAGUUUCAGUGGUUUCUAUAUGGAGUGCUCCCCCUUUCUAGGGUUACUUGAAAAAUCAAGUCAAUUCGAAUUACGUAGCUGGAAAACAUUGACACGCGUAGUUUUUACAGAUUCAGAACCUUCUUUGUGAUUUAAAACGGGCAAUGGUUCAUAACACAGGAAACUUAAAAUAUUUGCAGGCAACAUUUGGAUUAAAAAUACAUAUACAUACAUGAGGUGCAGAAGCACAUGUACUGAGCGUAAGCCACUGGCGUGUGACCACCUUGAUUGACCAAGAGCUGCCGCUCCCCAGCACUGCCUCCUGAAUUACCGCUAGUAAGUACACUGUGUAGCAUGGAGCCAAUUUAAAUAUGCCAACAGUUCAGCAAAAGUUUAACAGUACGGACUAAAACCGUUAACUCACGAUUCUGGUUACUUUAAAAUUUGGUAUGCUGUAUCUCAAAUACAUUAGUAACUAUUCCUAGAUGGAAAUAAGCAAAUACAUGGAAUCGUUAAAAAAAAAAAAAAAAAAAAAAGAUAAAAAAAAGCAUCACUAAAUGUCCAUUUGUACAGACAACAUUAGCAAACAUCUAAAAUUUCUUCAGCAAAAGAAAAACAUGUGUAUUUUUAACCCUUUGGUAUCCAAACUCUUAAAUUUUGAAGACUUUCUUAAAUAUAGUCUUCAAGUAACAAUAGGAAGAAACUUUUUUAAAGUAUUUACCUGAAUAAAUUUGAUGUAAAAUAAGAGAAGGAAAAAAAACAAAACUCCAUCAACAUACUCACGUGUGGUGCUAGAAAAUGUAACACACGAUGCACAGCAG
Panthera uncia (snow leopard) is the source of this 1039-nucleotide long non-coding RNA. RefSeq lists it as uncharacterized. The transcript has 2 exons. Lineage: Eukaryota; Metazoa; Chordata; Mammalia; Carnivora; Felidae. The record is from RefSeq and is a predicted model, not a curated record.